CAAAAACAAAAAGAACCUUUGUUCUGUAAGACAGUAUAGAAAGUUGGGAGAAAGGUCUACUCCAGGAUCAAGACCUCCUGAAAGAGUCUUGAGGACCCCAGUGGUUCCUGAACCACACUUUGAAAACUAUGGAUCUGAUAAUAAAUUAGGAUUGCAUUUCCUGUAGAACUGGACCAAUAGGACCCAAGGGAGAGUAUCAAAGGCAAAAUAAAGGAAAAUGAGGACAACCCAAUACUCAGAAAAAAAAACGAGUAAUUCAUGGACUCACAACGGGCAACAAACUAGAUGACUAUCAGGAAGAGAAGAGCAAAUCUUAUGAUCUCAAAAUGAUUUCUUGUUCAUUUGCAUCCUCCCAUCAAUCUAGACUUUAAGACAUAUGUGAUUUUUAAAUAAAUGGGUACAUCUCCAUA
RNAcentral lists this non-coding RNA (410 nucleotides) under Pongo abelii (Sumatran orangutan). The record is from RNAcentral. Lineage: Eukaryota; Metazoa; Chordata; Mammalia; Primates; Hominidae.